UGCAUUCCAGGUGUAUGAAAAUGCUUCAAAACGUGAAGAACUGUAGCACCUUCACACAUUCUCAUUAGUUUUUAAGGAAGAGACUGGAUUGGUCUCUUGGGCAGCUGGGCGCCUUUUGAAUACUGGGCCUGAGCUGGGGCAAGGGAGGGGGCAGUGGAGCCCAGAAGGGGGGAACUGAUUUACCAGGCUUCACACAAGCUGAAAGGGCUCCUGGCUGCUGUCCCCACUAAUUAGAACAGAGAUUUCUGCUUCUCUAUGAGAACGGGAAGGUCUGGGCUGGAGCCCGGGUUACCUGUUCCAUCUGUAUUUUAAUAGAACAUUUAUUUUAAUAGGAUUUAAUCUUGAGAUGCAAAGAUGGAAACAGAAACAGCGUGUAAAUCAAGAGGUAACCAAAACAGGCUGUCUGAAAACUAGAUCUUCAAAGGUGCCAGGAAGAGCUUUUGAGUGUGACAUCAACAAAGGCCAGUUACUGAUAGCUGAGAAGGUCCCUCAAGGGCAUGACCGUGGAGAGGCAGGACACAGCCCGUGGUGCAAGUGAUGGGAGCAGGGACACCUGGCUUCCACAUUGCAGUUCCUCUGACCUUCCUUCCCCUUUUCUGGAAAGUGCCCCCACCUCCCCCCCCCCCGCAGCAUUCACCCUGUCUUUCUCCUCCAUGAGUACACAAACACAGGCAGCAGUCCUGAUUAUAAAUGGAUUGUGUUCCAAGCAUUCAUUUGUGCUGUUUCAAGUCACUUCCAUCAGUGUUUGUGGAAGGCCAGGUGUGUGCCAGGCAUGGGACAACAGGAUCCUGGAGGAGAAUAAGAUACUGUCCUUGCCUUAAGCUGCCUGUGCUCCAAGUAGAGACCAGACGUGUAGUGUGAACCCCAUACAGAAGAUGGUGGGUGCUGGAGGAGAUGGUGGCCUCCAUCCUGGAGGUCAAAAGAAGGAGGGACCACCCCAAGGAAGGCUUCAUGGAGUUGGUGGCAUUUGAGGAGUGAAAAAAAGUCAGCAGACCGAAAAAAAAGUGGAAAAACCAGAAAAAUAACCAACCAGAAAAACUCCAUGGAAUGUGAGCGCUGAAGUCAAGUGGCCUGGGUUCAAAUCCUGCCUUUGCGAUUUUGUAGCCCUGGGACUGUGCAUAAAUUGUUUAAUUUCUCAGAGAUUCAGGAUAGUCAUUUGUGAAGUGUGGAUAAUAAAAGAAUCUGUAUUCGGA
This is a long non-coding RNA of Felis catus (domestic cat), 1193 nucleotides long. RefSeq lists it as uncharacterized. Lineage: Eukaryota; Metazoa; Chordata; Mammalia; Carnivora; Felidae. The record is from RefSeq and is a predicted model, not a curated record. The transcript has 2 exons.